This 465-nucleotide ribosomal RNA is filed under the name uncultured bacterium. Its description in RNAcentral is "partial 16S ribosomal RNA". It matches the Rfam family "Bacterial small subunit ribosomal RNA", at positions 338 to 795 of the family's 1533-position model. The record is from RNAcentral.
CCUACGGGAGGCAGCAGUAGGGAAUCUUCCACAAUGGGCGAAAGCCUGAUGGAGCAACGCCGCGUGGGUGAAGAAGGUCUUCGGAUCGUAAAACCCUGUUGUUAGAGAAGAAAGUGCGUGAGAGUAACUGUUCACGUUUCGACGGUAUCUAACCAGAAAGCCACGGCUAACUACGUGCCAGCAGCCGCGGUAAUACGUAGGUGGCAUGCGUUAUCCGGAUUUGUUGGGCGUAAAGGGAAUGCAGGCGGUAUUUUAAGUCUGAUGUGAAAGCCUUCGGUUUAACCGGAGUAGUGCAUUGGAAACUGGGAGACUUGAGUGCAGAAGAGGAGAGUGGAACUCCAUGUGUAGCGGUGAAAUGCGUAGAUAUAUGGAAGAACACCAGUGGCGAAAGCGGCUCUCUGGUCUGUAACUGACGCUGAGGUUCGAAAGCGUGGGUAGCAAACAGGAUUAGAUACCCCUGUAGUC